GACGAACGCUGGCGGCAUGCCUAAUACAUGCAAGUCGAGCGAACAGAUGAAGUGCUUGCACUUCUGACGUUAGCGGCGAACGGGUGAGUAACACGUAAGGAAUCUACCUAUAAGCGGGGGAUAACAUUCGGAAACGGGUGCUAAUACCGCAUAAUAUCUUCUUCCGCAUGGAAGAAGAUUGAAAGACGGCUCUGCUGUCACUUAUAGAUGACCUUGCGGUGCAUUAGUUAGUUGGUGGGGUAACGGCCUACCUAGACGAUGAUGCAUAGCCGACCUGAGAGGGUGAUCGGCCACAUUGGGACUGAGACACGGCCCAAACUCCUACGGGAGGCAGCAGUAGGGAAUCUUCCGCAAUGGGCGAAAGCCUGACGGAGCAAUGCCGCGUGAGUGAAGAAGGCCUUCGGGUCGUAAAACUCUGUUAUAAGAGAAGAACAAAUUGUAGAGUAACUGCUACAGUCUUGACGGUAUCUUAUCAGAAAGCCACGGCUAACUACGUG
RNAcentral lists this ribosomal RNA (497 nucleotides) under uncultured bacterium. RNAcentral describes it as "partial 16S ribosomal RNA". It matches the Rfam family "Bacterial small subunit ribosomal RNA", at positions 28 to 507 of the family's 1533-position model. The record is from RNAcentral.